Molecule: long non-coding RNA, 1625 nt
Filed under: Homo sapiens (human)
Lineage: Eukaryota; Metazoa; Chordata; Mammalia; Primates; Hominidae
Description: HSALNT0293535
Source: RNAcentral
GGCGCGCCGGGAGCUCCGCCCGGCUCCUGUGGAGGAAGCGGCGAGGGCGAGCCGCGGGGUCUCGGCGCCUCUGUAUGCUUGCACUUAACGAGAACCCAGAGCGAACACGACCCACAUUUCUCUUUUUGUUUUAAGAGGAAAUAUAGGAGUUACAGCAUAGAAUUACAAUAUCUGGACAUUAGAAAUAACAGGUCCCGGUCACGGUAUGGCACCGCGCGACACACUUGGUCCCUGAGGCCUGGAUGCCGCUCAGCAAACGUUCGCGGAAUAGGGUUGGGUUUACUGUCCCCCACCGAGCCGGUUGCUCAUUCAUUCAGCAUAAUUGAAUACCUCCUGUGUGCCAGGCACUGAAUCAAGUGUCGGAGACAAUGUCCUGCCCUCAAGCUCCUGGCCGGUUACUUGACAACCUUCCGGGACCUCAACGCUAUGUGCCUACUGUGUGAAAGCAAAGUGCCAGGUGGAGGACACAAAGAUGGCGAGCGACACAGGAUAGUCCUUAACAAUUAAGCGUGACUAAUUUUAAUAACAAAUGAGAAUAUGAUGUGACAUCCGUUCCAAAUCCUGUCGUUCCAAGUAACUUCUUAAGCAUCUUUCACGAUACAGCCUCUGCUUGAAAGGAAUUAAAACAGGUACAAGCAUGGAAGGAGACGUUGCUAUCAUAUUUCAAGAAUAAGAAAAUGCUGUUUUGUGUGGUUGUGCAGCAGGCAAUGAAAUGAGCUUACAUUCAAGCUUCCGUGUUUUACUGAAACAACAGUCACAGAUGCAGUAGAUGUUAAAGGUUGAAAGACGAGUGCAGUAAAAGCAUUAUGAGGACAAGAAGAAAACGUAAAUAUUUGUGUUGUUUCAUUCUUUGUUGUGGUGGCAGAAACAGCCCCCUCUUUCUAAGAGUAAGGAAGGACUGAAAGGAGGAGAAACUAUGGGUUGCCUUUUCCUUCUGUCAUCUGUUCAGCAUUUCAUAGUAAAACCUUUGUUGAUUUAAUAAACAUAAUGGAUACUCAUUAAAAUAUUCAAACAGCAUAGAAAGGGACAAAGAAGAAAGCAGCCAGCAAUCCAAGUACCACUAUCCAGAAAUAGCCAGUGAUAUCUCUUUAUGUGUGGAAAUACAAUGAAAAUUGAGUGAGAGACAUACACAGAGGAAGAAGAAAAAGAAAGCAAUCAAACUCCAAAUGGUGCUGCAAACUGAACCCCACAUGGACACGCCAUUCUUCUGAGGACCCUUAGAUCCACCCCAGGAGGAGCCCUAGCUGCUGUUCCCCAUUCGAUGCCCCUUUUCAGCCGAGGUGAUAACUGGAAGAGAGCAGAAAGGGAGCAUCUGGGAUACUGCUCUAAGAGCAGGACUGCCAUAUGAGGAUGCAGAGACUGUGCCUUGUGAAACUCCAGGGGCACCAUUCAUACAAGCCAACUGGACUCCAAGUGCCACGAGAACAGAGAUUGGGUCUGGUCCCCAGCUUCAGUGCCUCCAAGGCAGAAACUCAAGAGACGUUGUUGAACUGUCAGCCUUUACAUUUAUGCAUUACUAUUGAAGGCCUGGAAUAAAUGGAUCGUGUUUUACCUGUUAUCUUGCUCAUCUCUAUUACUGCUUCAUCAGCAGCUCUUCCCAAAGCAAUAAAAUGAACAAUGGCCCC